UACGUAGGGCGCAAGCGUUGUCCGGAAUUAUUGGGCGUAAGGAGCUCGUAGGCGGCUUGUUGCGUCGGUUGUGAAAGCCCGGGGCUUAACCCCGGGUCUGCAGUCGAUACGGGCAGGCUAGAGUGUGGUAGGGGAGAUCGGAAUUCCUGGUGUAGCGGUGAAAUGCGCAGAUAUCAGGAGGAACACCGGUGGCGAAGGCGGAUCUCUGGGCCAUUACUGACGCUGAGGAGCGAAAGCGUGGGGAGCAAACGGG
This 253-nucleotide ribosomal RNA is filed under the name uncultured bacterium. RNAcentral's name for it is "partial 16S ribosomal RNA". It matches the Rfam family "Bacterial small subunit ribosomal RNA", at positions 524 to 776 of the family's 1533-position model. The record is from RNAcentral.